CCUACGGGAGGCUGCAGUGAGGAAUAUUGGUCAAUGGACGAGAGUCUGAACCAGCCAAGUAGCGUGAAGGAUGACUGCCCUAUGGGUUGUAAACUUCUUUUAUAAAGGAAUAAAACGAGGCACGUGUGCCUUUUUGCAUGUACUUUAUGAAUAAGGAUCGGCUAACUCCGUGCCAGCAGCCGCGGUAAUACGGAGGAUCCGAGCGUUAUCCGGAUUUAUUGGGGUUAAAGGGAGCGUAGAUGGGUUGUUAAGUCAGUUGUGAAAGUUUGCGGCUCAACCGUAAAAUUGCAAUUGAUACUGGCAGUCUUGAGUACAGUUGAGGUAGGCGGAAUUCGUGGUGUAGCGGUGAAAUGCUUAGAUAUCACGAAGAACCCCGAUUGCGAAGGCAGCUUACUAAACUGUGACUGACAUUGAUGCUCGAAAGUGUGGGGAUCAAACAGGAUUAGAUACCCGGGUAGUC
This 460-nucleotide ribosomal RNA is filed under the name uncultured bacterium. RNAcentral describes it as "partial 16S ribosomal RNA". It matches the Rfam family "Bacterial small subunit ribosomal RNA", at positions 338 to 795 of the family's 1533-position model. The record is from RNAcentral.